GGAGUUUGGUCCGUGUCUCAGUACCAAUGUGGGGGACCUUCCUCUCAGAACCCCUACUGAUCGUAGCCUUGGUGGGCCGUUACCCCGCCAACAAGCUAAUCAGACGCAUCCCCAUCCCAUAGCGAUGAAUCUUUGGUAUUCGUCAGAUGUCCUCAAAAUACAACAUAGGGCAUUAAUCCGACUUUCGCCGGGCUAUUCCCUACUAUGGGGAAGGUUGGAUACGCGUUACUCACCCGUGCGCCGGUCGCCAGCAACAAUAGCAAGCUAUCGUCCUGCUGCCCCUCGACUUGCAUGUGUUAAGCCUGUAGCUAGCGUUCAUC
This 320-nucleotide ribosomal RNA is filed under the name uncultured Prevotella sp. RNAcentral's name for it is "partial 16S ribosomal RNA". Lineage: Bacteria; Pseudomonadati; Bacteroidota; Bacteroidia; Bacteroidales; Prevotellaceae. The record is from RNAcentral.